RNAcentral lists this small RNA (726 nucleotides) under Pongo abelii (Sumatran orangutan). RNAcentral describes it as "retained intron". Lineage: Eukaryota; Metazoa; Chordata; Mammalia; Primates; Hominidae. The record is from RNAcentral.
ACAAUGACUCGGAGCCACCCCGGAAGACCAUGCGCAGAGGGGUGCUGAUGACCCUGCUGCAGCAGUCGGCCAUGACCCUGCCCCUGUGGAUCGGGAAGCCUGGUGACAAGUGAGGGCAGCAGCUGCAAGGGAGGGACUGGUGCCCAGGGGCUGGGACUGACCCUUUUUUCCACUCAUAGGCCCCCACCCCUCUGUGGGGCCAUCCCUGCCUCAGGAGACUACGUGGCCAGACCUGGAGACAAGGUGGCUGCCCGGGUGAAGGCCGUGGAUGGGGACGAGCAGUGGAUCCUGGCCGAGGUGGUCAGUUACAGCCAUGCCACCAACAAGUAUGAGGUAGAUGACAUCGAUGAAGAAGGCAAAGAGAGACACACCCUGAGCCGUCGCCGUGUCAUCCCGCUGCCCCAGUGGAAGGCCAACCCGGAGACGGACCCUGAGGCCUUGUUCCAGAAGGAGCAGCUCGUGCUGGCCCUGUAUCCCCAGACCACCUGCUUCUACCGCGCCCUGAUCCAUGCGCCCCCACAGCGGCCCCAGGAUGACUACUCGGUCCUGUUUGAAGACACCUCCUAUGCAGAUGGCUAUUCCCCUCCCCUCAAUGUGGCUCAGAGGUACGUGGUGGCUUGUAAGGAGCCCAAGAAAAAGUGACGCCGCCCGGCGGACUCACCAUCCCCCAACGACACAGGGCAGGACAGCAGAGGACGUGCUGCGAUUAAACACAUUCCCCCUCCA